This 479-nucleotide ribosomal RNA is filed under the name uncultured bacterium. RNAcentral's name for it is "bacterial SSU rRNA". It matches the Rfam family "Bacterial small subunit ribosomal RNA", at positions 30 to 507 of the family's 1533-position model. The record is from RNAcentral.
AUUGAACGCUGGCGGAAUGCUUUACACAUGCAAGUCGAACGGUAGAGGGGGCAACCCUUGAGAGUGGCGAACGGGUGAGUAAUAUAUCGGAACGUGCCCAGUCGUGGGGGAUAACGUAGCGAAAGUUACGCUAAUACCGCAUACGAUCUAAGGAUGAAAGCGGGGGAUCGCAAGACCUCGCGCGAUUGGAGCGGCCGAUAUCAGAUUAGGUAGUUGGUGAGGUAAAGGCUCACCAAGCCAACGAUCUGUAGCUGGUCUGAGAGGACGACCAGCCACACUGGAACUGAGACACGGUCCAGACUCCUACGGGAGGCAGCAGUGGGGAAUUUUGGACAAUGGACGCAAGUCUGAUCCAGCCAUUCCGCGUGCAGGAUGAAGGCCCUCGGGUUGUAAACUGCUUUUGUACGGAACGAAAAGGUUUCUAUUAAUACUAGGAGCUCAUGACGGUACCGUAAGAAUAAGCACCGGCUAACUACGUG